AACGAACGCUGGCGGCAUGCCUAACACAUGCAAGUCGAACGAGACCUUCGGGUCUAGUGGCGCACGGGUGCGUAACGCGUGGGAAUCUACCCUUGGGUUCGGAAUAACAGUUAGAAAUGACUGCUUAUACCGGAUGAUGACGUAAGUCCAAAGAUUUAUCGCCCAAGGAUGAGCCCGCGUAAGAUUAGCUUGUUGGUGGGGUAAUGGCCUACCAAGGCGACGAUCUUUAGCUGGUCUGAGAGGAUGAUCGGCCACACUGGGACUGAGACACGGCCCAGACUCCUACGGGAGGCAGCAGUGGGGAAUAUUGGACAAUGGGCGAAAGCCUGAUCCAGCAAUGCCGCGUGAGUGAUGAAGGCCUUAGGGUUGUAAAGCUCUUUUACCAGGGAUGAUAAUGACAGUACCUGGAGAAUAAGCUCCGGCUAACUCCGUGCCAGCCGCCGCUGUAA
This 449-nucleotide ribosomal RNA is filed under the name uncultured bacterium. RNAcentral describes it as "partial 16S ribosomal RNA". It matches the Rfam family "Bacterial small subunit ribosomal RNA", at positions 29 to 523 of the family's 1533-position model. The record is from RNAcentral.